Molecule: unclassified non-coding RNA, 266 nt
Filed under: Hevea brasiliensis (rubber tree)
Lineage: Eukaryota; Viridiplantae; Streptophyta; Magnoliopsida; Malpighiales; Euphorbiaceae
Source: RNAcentral
GGGAAGUUUACCCUGCUCUAUUGUUAUUUCCAGCUGAGAGGAAGACCUCUGUCUCUUAUGAAGGAGACAUGGCAGUAGCUGAUGUUAUCAAGUUUAUAGCUCUUCAUGGAGUUAGCUCUCAACAUCUCACCAAUGAGAAGGGGAUUCUGUGGUCUGUAGCUGAAAAAAGUGGCAAGUAUCAUUUUAAAGACGCAUUACCAUCCACAAUUCACAAUGAAUCUCCUGUUGGGAAGGACAAAUACCAUGAGGUCCUAUUAAAGAACCGG